AUGGCUUCUGCAACACAUAUACUAAAAUUGGAACGACACAGAGAAUAUUAGCAUGACCCCUGCACAAGAAUGACACACGAAUUUGUGAAGUGUUCUAUAUUUUU
This is a small nuclear RNA of Delphinapterus leucas (beluga whale), 104 nucleotides long. The record is from Ensembl. Lineage: Eukaryota; Metazoa; Chordata; Mammalia; Artiodactyla; Monodontidae.